GACAGGAAGGGUGUCCCUUCUCAGAGGUAGCACUUUGUCAGCAGUUCCUCUCGACUGCUCUGCCUUCCAUUUUUCCUUUCCUCAGUUCCUGGACAAGCCUCGGAGGACCAGGCAGAACCCUCUGGCUAUCAGAAAAGCUCGCACCCCCGCACCCUUGCGGCGUCUGCUUCAGACCCUCCACGCAGGCGCCCGCUGGAGCGCCUGCUGGGGAUGGCGUACCACCGACCCUUGAGGCUUUUUAAAAACGUAAACUUUUUUGAAGCUCAGUGUAUGUACUUUAAAAUUCGCAAAUUAUAUACGUGCAGCUUCAUGAAUUUUCAAAGUGAAUGUAUCCAUGAAACCAGUGCCCAAAUCAAGAAAUGGAAUGCCUUUUUGAAGUUUGAGGCCGGGCGCGGUGGCUCACUCCUGUAAACCUACCACUUUGGGAGGCCGAGGCGGGCGGAUCACGAGGUCAGGAGAUCGAGACCAUCCUGGCUAACACGGUGAAACUCCGUCUCUACUAAAAAUACAAAAAAAUUAGCCUGGCAUGGUAGCGGGCGCCUGUAGUCCCAGCUACUCGGGAGGCUGAGGCAGGAGAAUGGCGUGAACCUGGGAGGCGGAGCUUGCAGUGAGCCGGGAUCACACCACUGCACUCCAGUCUAGGUGAGAGUGAGACUCCGUCUCAAAAAAAAAAAAAAAAAAAAGAAAAAAUUCAUUUAUAUUUUUUCCAAUUUUUAUGGCGGUAAAAUACAUAUAACAUAAAAUUUAUCACUUUACCUAUUUGUAAGUGUACAGUUCGGUGGUAUUAAAUGCAUUCAUAAUACUGUGCAUCACCGUCAUCCAUCUCAAGAACUCUUUUAAUUUUAUAAAAUGAAAACUCCAUAUUCAUUAAAAAAGUAACUCCUCAUUCUCUCCUUUCCUCUGCCCCUGGCAACCACCAUUCUACUUUCUGUCUCUUUAAAUUUGACUACUCUGGGUAGCUCAUACAAGUGGAAUUAUACAGUAUUUGUCUUUUUGUGACUGGCUUAUUUCACUUAGCAUAAUGUCCUAAAGAGCCGUCUAUAUUUUAACACACAUUAGAAUUUCCUUUCUUUUUAGGGUUGAAUGAUAU
Molecule: long non-coding RNA, 1090 nt
Organism: Gorilla gorilla gorilla (western lowland gorilla)
Lineage: Eukaryota; Metazoa; Chordata; Mammalia; Primates; Hominidae
Exons: 3
Source: RefSeq, a predicted model, not a curated record